RNAcentral lists this unclassified non-coding RNA (203 nucleotides) under uncultured Sebacinaceae. Its description in RNAcentral is "sequence contains ITS2". RNAcentral also lists the same sequence under 1 other name. Lineage: Eukaryota; Fungi; Basidiomycota; Agaricomycetes; Sebacinales; Sebacinaceae. The record is from RNAcentral.
GUACUCUCACACUCCCAAUCCCUUUGGAUUGGGAGCGGUGGACUUGGGUGUUGCCGCUUGACUGAGGCUCACCUGAAAUAUGUUAGUGCAUCUCUUGAUUGGACAUAGUACGGCGUGAUAAGUGUCUUCGCCGGCUCCUCGCAAAGAGGGUGGCCGAUCGGGAGCUCUGUUGCUUCAAACAGUCUUCGGACAAUCUUCUGACA